Molecule: ribosomal RNA, 429 nt
Filed under: Actinomycetes bacterium
Lineage: Bacteria; Bacillati; Actinomycetota; Actinomycetes
Description: Actinobacteria bacterium partial 16S ribosomal RNA
Rfam family: Bacterial small subunit ribosomal RNA
Source: RNAcentral
UAGGGAAUCUUCCGCAAUGGGCGAAAGCCUGACGGAGCAACGCCGCGUGAGUGAUGAAGGUCUUCGGAUCGUAAAACUCUGUUAUUAGGGAAGAACAAAUGUGUAAGUAACUAUGCACGUCUUGACGGUACCUAAUCAGAAAGCCACGGCUAACUACGUGCCAGCAGCCGCGGUAAUACGUAGGUGGCAAGCGCUAUCCGGAAUUAUUGGGCGUAAAGCGCGCGUAGGCGGUUUUUUAAGUCUGAUGUGAAAGCCCACGGCUCAACCGUGGAGGGUCAUUGGAAACUGGAAAACUUGAGUGCAGAAGAGGAAAGUGGAAUUCCAUGUGUAGCGGUGAAAUGCGCAGAGAUAUGGAGGAACACCAGUGGCGAAGGCGACUUUCUGGUCUGUAACUGACGCUGAUGUGCGAAAGCGUGGGGAUAAAACAGG